GCGAUUUCCGAAUGGGGAAACCCAGUGUGUUUCGACACACUAUCAUUAACUGAAUCCAUAGGUUAAUGAGGCGAACCGGGGGAACUGAAACAUCUAAGUACCCCGAGGAAAAGAAAUCAACCGAGAUUCCCCCAGUAGCGGCGAGCGAACGGGGAGCAGCCCAGAGCCUGAAUCAGUGUGUGUGUUAGUGGAAGCGUCUGGAAAGGCGCGCGAUACAGGGUGACAGCCCCGUACACAAAAAUGCACAUACUGUGAGCUCGAUGAGUAGGGCGGGACACGUGGUAUCCUGUCUGAAUAUGGGGGGACCAUCCUCCAAGGCUAAAUACUCCUGACUGACCGAUAGUGAACCAGUACCGUGAGGGAAAGGCGAAAAGAACCCCGGCGAGGGGAGUGAAAAAGAACCUGAAACCGUGUACGUACAAGCAGUGGGAGCCUCUUAAUGGGGUGACUGCGUACCUUUUGUAUAAUGGGUCAGCGACUUAUAUUCUGUAGCAAGGUUAACCGAAUAGGGGAGCCGAAGGGAAACCGAGUCUUAACUGGGCGUUAAGUUGCAGGGUAUAGACCCGAAACCCGGUGAUCUAGCCAUGGGCAGGUUGAAGGUUGGGUAACACUAACUGGAGGACCGAACCGACUAAUGUUGAAAAAUUAGCGGAUGACUUGUGGCUGGGGGUGAAAGGCCAAUCAAACCGGGAGAUAGCUGGUUCUCCCCGAAAGCUAUUUAGGUAGCGCCUCGUGAAUUCAUCUCCGGGGGUAGAGCACUGUUUCGGCAAGGGGGUCAUCCCGACUUACCAACCCGAUGCAAACUGCGAAUACCGGAGAAUGUUAUCACGGGAGACACACGGCGGGUGCUAACGUCCGUCGUGAAGAGGGAAACAACCCAGACCGCCAGCUAAGGUCCCAAAGUCAUGGUUAAGUGGGAAACGAUGUGGGAAGGCCCAGACAGCCAGGAUGUUGGCUUAGAAGCAGCCAUCAUUUAAAGAAAGCGUAAUAGCUCACUGGUCGAGUCGGCCUGCGCGGAAGAUGUAACGGGGCUAAACCAUGCACCGAAGCUGCGGCAGCGACACUGUGUGUUGUUGGGUAGGGGAGCGUUCUGUAAGCCUGUGAAGGUGUACUGUGAGGUAUGCUGGAGGUAUCAGAAGUGCGAAUGCUGACAUAAGUAACGAUAAAGCGGGUGAAAAGCCCGCUCGCCGGAAGACCAAGGGUUCCUGUCCAACGUUAAUCGGGGCAGGGUGAGUCGACCCCUAAGGCGAGGCCGAAAGGCGUAGUCGAUGGGAAACAGGUUAAUAUUCCUGUACUUGGUGUUACUGCGAAGGGGGGACGGAGAAGGCUAUGUUGGCCGGGCGACGGUUGUCCCGGUUUAAGCGUGUAGGCUGGUUUUCCAGGCAAAUCCGGAAAACUAAGGCUGAGGCGUGAUGACGAGGCACUACGGUGCUGAAGCAACAAAUGCCCUGCUUCCAGGAAAAGCCUCUAAGCAUCAGGUAACAUCAAAUCGUACCCCAAACCGACACAGGUGGUCAGGUAGAGAAUACCAAGGCGCUUGAGAGAACUCGGGUGAAGGAACUAGGCAAAAUGGUGCCGUAACUUCGGGAGAAGGCACGCUGAUAUGUAGGUGAAGUCCCUCGCGGAUGGAGCUGAAAUCAGUCGAAGAUACCAGCUGGCUGCAACUGUUUAUUAAAAACACAGCACUGUGCAAACACGAAAGUGGACGUAUACGGUGUGACGCCUGCCCGGUGCCGGAAGGUUAAUUGAUGGGGUUAGCGGUAACGCGAAGCUCUUGAUCGAAGCCCCGGUAAACGGCGGCCGUAACUAUAACGGUCCUAAGGUAGCGAAAUUCCUUGUCGGGUAAGUUCCGACCUGCACGAAUGGCGUAAUGAUGGCCAGGCUGUCUCCACCCGAGACUCAGUGAAAUUGAACUCGCUGUGAAGAUGCAGUGUACCCGCGGCAAGACGGAAAGACCCCGUGAACCUUUACUAUAGCUUGACACUGAACAUUGAGCCUUGAUGUGUAGGAUAGGUGGGAGGCUUUGAAGUGUGGACGCCAGUCUGCAUGGAGCCGGCCUUGAAAUACCACCCUUUAAUGUUUGAUGUUCUAACGUUGGCCCCUGAUCGGGGUUGCGGACAGUGUCUGGUGGGUAGUUUGACUGGGGCGGUCUCCUCCUAAAGAGUAACGGAGGAGCACGAAGGUUGGCUAAUCCUGGUCGGACAUCAGGAGGUUAGUGCAAUGGCAUAAGCCAGCUUGACUGCGAGCGUGACGGCGCGAGCAGGUGCGAAAGCAGGUCAUAGUGAUCCGGUGGUUCUGAAUGGAAGGGCCAUCGCUCAACGGAUAAAAGGUACUCCGGGGAUAACAGGCUGAUACCGCCCAAGAGUUCAUAUCGACGGCGGUGUUUGGCACCUCGAUGUCGGCUCAUCACAUCCUGGGGCUGAAGUAGGUCCCAAGGGUAUGGCUGUUCGCCAUUUAAAGUGGUACGCGAGCUGGGUUUAGAACGUCGUGAGACAGUUCGGUCCCUAUCUGCCGUGGGCGCUGGAGAACUGAGGGGGGCUGCUCCUAGUACGAGAGGACCGGAGUGGACGCAUCACUGGUGUUCGGGUUGUCAUGCCAAUGGCACUGCCCGGUAGCUAAAUGCGGAAGAGAUAAGUGCUGAAAGCAUCUAAGCACGAAACUUGCCCCGAGAUGAGUUCUCCCUGACUCCUUGAGAGUCCUGAAGGAACGUUGAAGACGACGACGUUGAUAGGCCGGGUGUGUAAGCGCAGCGAUGCGUUGAGCUAACCGGUACUAAUGAACCGUGAGGCUUAACCUUACAACGCCGAAGGUGUUU
This 2815-nucleotide ribosomal RNA is filed under the name Escherichia coli. RNAcentral's name for it is "bacterial LSU rRNA". It matches the Rfam family "Bacterial large subunit ribosomal RNA". Lineage: Bacteria; Pseudomonadati; Pseudomonadota; Gammaproteobacteria; Enterobacterales; Enterobacteriaceae. The record is from RNAcentral.